CAAUAGCGUAUAUUAAAGUUGUUGCGGUUAAAAAGCUCGUAGUUGGAUUUCUGCCGAGGACGACCGGUCCGCCCUCUGGGUGAGUAUCUGGCUCGGCCUGGGCAUCUUCUUGGAGAACGUAGCUGCACUUGACUGUGUGGUGCGGUAUCCAGGACUUUUACUUUGAGGAAAUUAGAGUGUUUCAAGCAGGCUUACGCCUUGAAUACAUUAGCAUGGAAUAAUAAGAUAGGACCUCGGUUCUAUUUUGUUGGUUUCUAGAGCUGAGGUAAUGAUUAAUAGGGAUAGUUGGGGGCAUUCGUAUUUAACUGUCAGAGGUGAAAUUCUUGGAUUUGUUAAAGACGGACUACUGUGAAAGCAUUUGCCAAGGAUGUUUUCAUUGA
Molecule: ribosomal RNA, 380 nt
Filed under: uncultured eukaryote
Lineage: Eukaryota
Description: partial 18S ribosomal RNA
Rfam family: Eukaryotic small subunit ribosomal RNA
Source: RNAcentral